UACGAAGGGGGCUAGCGUUGCUCGGAAUCACUGGGCGUAAAGGGUGCGCAGGCGGGUCUUUAAGUCAGAGGUGAAAUCCUGGAGCUCAACUCCAGAACUGCCUUUGAUACUGAGGAUCUUGAGUUCGGGAGAGGUGAGUGGAACUGCGAGUGUAGAGGUGAAAUUCGUAGAUAUUCGCAAGAACACCAGUGGCGAAGGCGGCUCACUGGCCCGAUACUGACGCUGAGGCACGAAAGCGUGGGGAGCAAACAGG
RNAcentral lists this ribosomal RNA (253 nucleotides) under uncultured bacterium. RNAcentral's name for it is "partial 16S ribosomal RNA". It matches the Rfam family "Bacterial small subunit ribosomal RNA", at positions 524 to 776 of the family's 1533-position model. The record is from RNAcentral.